RNAcentral lists this ribosomal RNA (310 nucleotides) under uncultured eukaryote. RNAcentral describes it as "partial 18S ribosomal RNA". It matches the Rfam family "Eukaryotic small subunit ribosomal RNA", at positions 1470 to 1796 of the family's 1831-position model. The record is from RNAcentral.
CCCUUAGAUGUUCUGGGCUGCACGCGUGCUACACUGAUUACUUCAACAAGUGUUUUAACUGGAGAGUUUGCGUAAUCCUGAAAUGUUAUCGUGAUGGGAGUAGAGUAUUGUAUUUGUUAAUCUUUAACGAGGAAUUCCUAGUAAGUGUAGGUUUAUAAGUUGUUCUGAUUACGUCCCUGCCCUUUGUACACACCGCCCGUCGCUCCUACCGAUUGAUUGAUCCGGUGAAUUACAUAGAAUUUUGCGUUCUACAUGACGGAAGAUGAAGUGUUUUAAACCUUAUCAUUUAGAGGAAGGAGAAGUCGUAACA